RNAcentral lists this ribosomal RNA (406 nucleotides) under Polypedates megacephalus (Hong Kong whipping frog). RNAcentral describes it as "partial 16S ribosomal RNA". It matches the Rfam family "Bacterial large subunit ribosomal RNA", at positions 1834 to 2459 of the family's 2925-position model. Lineage: Eukaryota; Metazoa; Chordata; Amphibia; Anura; Rhacophoridae. The record is from RNAcentral.
CUUGACUUGUAAUAAGAGGUCCAGCCUGCCCAGUGAAUUUUAAACGGCCGCGGUAUCCUAACCGCGCGAAGGUAGCAUAAUCACUUGUUCUUUAAAUGGGGACUUGUAUCAACGGCAUCACGAGGGUUUUACUGUCUCCUCUUUUUGAUCAGUGAAAUUGAUCUUCCCGUGAAGAAGCGGGAAUAAGCUUAUAAGACGAGAAGACCCCAUGGAGCUUAAAACCAAAUAACAACUUAACCACUUACCCCACUAUAAAUUUAAGCCCUGUUAUAAGGUUUUUGGUUGGGGUGACCGCGGAGUAAAACACAUCCUCCACGACGGAAAGAACACACUCUUUAUUUAAGAACCACAAUUCUAGAAAUUAGUAUACUAACGUUUACUGACCCGACAAUCGAUCAACGGACCA